RNAcentral lists this long non-coding RNA (1157 nucleotides) under Triticum aestivum (bread wheat). RNAcentral describes it as "long non-coding RNA (TAES_LNC005615)". The record is from RNAcentral. Lineage: Eukaryota; Viridiplantae; Streptophyta; Magnoliopsida; Poales; Poaceae.
ACUAAUGAUAUCACUUAAUUGUACCAAUAAUAUACUUAUGUUACAUCACCCAGAAAAAUAUUAUGGUAAAAAGGAACGGAUUGAAAAAUAAUUGGUUCGCAAUCAUAUAUGCAUGCAGGGGAUCAAUAUUUUGCUUCAAAGUUCUAUGAAGAGUUUGUGGAUCAUGCCUCAUUACAUUCAGAAGAAGAAAAUCUUGUCAUCUGUAGGUGGGCGCUAGCACUCUGCAGGAGUUGUACCUUCGAGAUUCAUUUCAAGUAAAAUUCAGAAGUGCAAAAACAGAUCUAACAAUAGUCACAGUACAACUCCAGCUUCCUCGUUUGUUAACUUGCCGUUGUUCUGAUGUAGAUUUGGCACCAGCCUCUCUAGCAGAAGGAAAAUCCAUGUCAAUAAUAGACUCUGAAAACUCAAAGUACAUACUACAUGAAAUCCUUCUGAAGUGUGUUUCUGCUUCCACAAUAAUAAUAAAAAAUUCUACUUAAAUGAGUGUCAAAAGGGAUACUUAUUGUAGAUUACAUGAGGAGCCAAUAAUUGUUUUUACCUAAUAGAAAACAACAUGUAGAGAAUAUUGUGUCAAUAAAAUCAAUCCUUGGUGAUUCAGAAAUGGACGAUGAACUACACGUACAUGAUGGACCCUAGACUACCAGUGUGACACUUGAUGUUGGUUGUGUUGCCAAAGUUACAACAGAGUUGCUGCUAAAUUGGUACUCCACAUAAACAAAGUCCAUCAUUGCUGCUAAACUGGUAAUCCACACGAACAAAGUCAAUCAGCCAUGUACCAAAUUUAUCUCUGAACUGUAAGUACGCGAAGGACACAAAACCUACUACGAAAACAUAAGUGCCGAGUCAUCUAAUUCAUACUACUACUUAGUCUAAGGUGAUAAGAGUAAUGGUAAGUAGCCAUUGCUGGGAGAUGUGAUUUAUUGUUGCAUACUACAUUGUACAUGAACAUUUUACAAAUGCUUAUAAUAUAUAAACAUCAAUUUAUAUAUAUCUACAUGGGAGCAUUUCAGAGAACACAUGGUGAGCAUGAGUGUCUCACAAACCUGCAGCUUCCUAGAUUUCGAUGUCUCAUACAUGGUGGUGGGCAGAAGCUGCAGCAUGUUACUCCUUAGCUUGGGGGCCCUGGUCAUGGAGGACCCUGCUGGCCAGGGGGCAAG